CUAGCUGUGUUUUGGUGGUAGAGCAUUUGCUUGGCAUGCAAGAAGGUUCCAGGUUCAAAUCCUGCCCCUCCAGUUAAA
This 78-nucleotide transfer RNA is filed under the name Sphaerodactylus townsendi. Its description in RNAcentral is "tRNA-Ala". The record is from RNAcentral. Lineage: Eukaryota; Metazoa; Chordata; Lepidosauria; Squamata; Sphaerodactylidae.